AUGAUGAGCAUUAUACUUUGUUUACUAUACUUGCAUUUGUUAUUAGACUUMUAUUUGUUAUUCUUGACCACAAAAUCAAAAUGACUUCACCAAUUUGUUACUGUUCGUUUUUGCUGGAAAUUGUGGACACCGCUCACCGCACACACACAUUCUUUCACACAGAUCACCCUCGCUUAGGAGGCGCCUCUCUCCGUCCGUUCCCGUGCUAGUCCAAUGGAACAAAGACCAGCCUUAUCAAUGUAUGCUUUCCUACGAGCCAAUGGCGCGACUCCUCAUAGCUCACAUGACAGAUUCCUCUCGCGUCUCUCCACACAGCGUUCAAUCGCGGGAUUCUAGCGUCACUGAAGAACCGAGUCCGGCGCGGCAGGACGUCAACGACAGCGCAACAAUUAUUAGAUAUGAAGACAAGUUUUCAAAGGACCAGACACAUUUUCGAAUGGACUGACUGUUGGCAGCGGAAAUUCUUGAGCCGUACGAUACUAUGAAUCGUCUUCAGACACUAAAAUGAACCAUACGCUAUCAGAAAGCUGACAGGAAAAUGGAGAGAGAGAGAAGGAGAGGAUGAAGAGAAGUGGUGCGAAGGAAUGGAAGAAGCCCCUGAGCAGAACCAGAAGGAGGGAGGGAGAACUGCUGUGACAUGAAAGAGUGAUAGAGCAGAUCACAGAAGAACUCAGACCUUUCAGCUGUGGGCCAGUAGAUCUACGCGCUCCUGGAGCCAGAGGACAAGACCAGGGGCAAGAAGAGACCGUCCGCAUUCAUUUCCAAGCCUUCAGUCUCUCUACACACCUUUUCACACGGGCUGCAAUUAUGAAACGGUUUCAGUCAUUGAAGUAGAAUGUAACAACAGCAAAAAAAGGAAUUGAGUGUCUUCUGUGAAACAUUAAAUAACCAUCCUCUGAUAAACCGGUAAAGAGAGCUGUCUGAAAAGUGACUUGAGAUAUGAGGGAUAAUGGCUGUGUCUUUGUAGUGUCCUUCUAGCUCCCCCGAGAGAGAGAGAGAGAGAGGAAAUGAUAGGCCCAGUCGCCCACUGUGCUCAUCUCUCUGAAUCUCCAAGCGUCAGACUGUCAACCUUGCUCACUAUCAGGCCCCGUUCGCCCCGGUGAACAUUCAACGCUGUCGGUGAGUUUUGAGCUAAAUUGACAAAGACCAUCGACCGUUGAUUGUACCCUGUGGCCAGCCCUUGUCGCUUGAUGAUCGACGCGCAUGGCUACUAACUCAUUAUAACCAGAGGAAGAACACUAUGGUCCC
Long non-coding RNA from Salvelinus sp. IW2-2015, 1248 nucleotides. RefSeq lists it as uncharacterized. The record is from RefSeq and is a predicted model, not a curated record. NCBI's taxonomy places the organism in Eukaryota, Metazoa, Chordata, Actinopteri, Salmoniformes, Salmonidae.